UACGUAGGGUGCAAGCGUUGUUCGGAAUCAUUGGGCGUAAAGCGCGUGUAGGUGGUUAAGUAAGUCGGGUGUGAAAGCCCUCGGCUCAACCGAGGAAGUGCAUCCGAAACUACUUAGCUAGAGGACGGUAGAGGAAGGUGGAAUUCCAAGUGUAGAGGUGAAAUUCGUAGAUAUUUGGAGGAAUACCGGUGGCGAAGGCGGCCUUCUGGGCCGUUCCUGACACUGAGACGCGAAAGCGUGGGUAGCAAACAGG
Molecule: ribosomal RNA, 253 nt
Filed under: uncultured bacterium
Lineage: Bacteria
Description: partial 16S ribosomal RNA
Rfam family: Bacterial small subunit ribosomal RNA
Source: RNAcentral